UUGGAGGGCAAGUCUGGUGCCAGCAGCCGCGGUAAUUCCAGCUCCAAUAGCGUAUAUUAAAGUUGUUGCAGUUAAAAAGCUCGUAGUUGAAUUUCGGGAUCAAUUUAUUGGUCGUGCUAUUGUACGUACUGGUAUUAUUGAUUCCUACCUUCUGACGAACCAUGAUGUCAUUAAUUUGGUGUCUUGGGGAAUCAGGACUGUUACUUUGAAAAAAUUAGAGUGUUUAAAGCAGGCUCACGCUUGAAUACAUUAGCAUGGAAUAACGAAAUAGGACGUUUGAUUCUAUUUUGUUGGUUUCUAGGAUCGACGUAAUGAUUAAUAGGGAUAGUUGGGGGCAUUAGUAUUCAAUUGUCAGAGGUGAAAUUCUUGGAUUUAUUGAAGACUAACUACUGCGAAAGCAUUUGCCAAGGAUGUUUUCAUUAAUCAAGAACGAAAGUUAGGGGAUCGAAGACGAUCAGAUACCGUCGUAGUCUUAACCAUAAACUAUGCCGACUAGGGAUCGGAUGAUGUUAAUUUUCUAAUGACUCAUUCGGCGCCUUACGGGAAAC
RNAcentral lists this ribosomal RNA (548 nucleotides) under uncultured Glomeromycotina. RNAcentral describes it as "SSU rRNA". It matches the Rfam family "Eukaryotic small subunit ribosomal RNA", at positions 548 to 1098 of the family's 1831-position model. The record is from RNAcentral. Lineage: Eukaryota; Fungi; Glomeromycota.